Molecule: small nuclear RNA, 107 nt
Filed under: Notechis scutatus (mainland tiger snake)
Lineage: Eukaryota; Metazoa; Chordata; Lepidosauria; Squamata; Elapidae
Source: RNAcentral
GUGCUCGUUUCAGCAGCACAUAUACUAAAAUUGGAAUGAUACAGAGAAGAUUAGAAUGGCCCCUGCGCAAGGAUGACACGCAAAUUUGUGAAGUGUUCCAUAUUUCA